Long non-coding RNA from Pecten maximus, 557 nucleotides. RefSeq lists it as uncharacterized. The transcript is spliced from 2 exons. The record is from RefSeq and is a predicted model, not a curated record. Lineage: Eukaryota; Metazoa; Mollusca; Bivalvia; Pectinida; Pectinidae.
GGAUGUAUGACCGGAUAUAUGACAAAGGACAUUCCAGAACGUGCGGUGUAAACACGUCAACAUGCAGGUGUAGCGGCACAACACCGCGGCUAUUUACUCAUUUAUUGGACAUAAAUACGCAAACUACAGCUUGCGUUUAACCCAUUGGUGAGGAUAGACCAUAAUGUGGUGUGGAUGAUCCUGGAAGGAUCAUGGUCAGAACAGAGUCCUGACAGGGACAUAUGCCAGACUGAUGUGUGGUGGAGCGAGGUGGCCUGGGUACUGUGGUUGCGACUCAUGAGGAACACAGCCAGAACCUUGAUGGACAGCCAUGAGUGGUAUUCUUUGCUGGCAAUAUAGAACUGUUCGUGAUGAGGCUUGAUGGUGCCCGUCUUGUGGAGAGAACUGGGUUUCUUGUUGACACUCCAUGGUGGAAAUCUGCCCACCAGUGUAGACUAUUAAGGUGACCUCAUAGACAGUGAUGGAAAUCUGUGAUAUAUGUUCUUAUUAAAUGUGUGAAAGUGAGUGUGGAUGUGCAGUUGUUCAUAGUGUAUAGUGUAAUUAAAUAUUGUAAAUAA